RNAcentral lists this small RNA (590 nucleotides) under Vigna angularis var. angularis. RNAcentral describes it as "Non-protein coding transcript". The record is from RNAcentral. Lineage: Eukaryota; Viridiplantae; Streptophyta; Magnoliopsida; Fabales; Fabaceae.
UAUUUGUAGAAUAUAGCAAAUUAUACCAUUGAUGAAUCACAGAACAAUAUAGAAAGCUGAUUACAAACUUCAGUAACGAAACAUGCAUGCAUGCAUAACAAUAUAUUUAACCUAAGCAUUGGGAACAAAUAGAUAGUGGUUACAACGAACAGAAAACCUACCUAAUUAAAAAAAAUAACAAAGCAGUAGAAAGGAAAAAACAGACAUGAUAAGUUUUGAGCGACGCAACUGAUGUAGUUUAUUUCAAAUGCAUAUGUACUAACUGUUUGUUAAUGGCCAACUCCAGGACUGUGGCCAGGAGUUGUAGGCCUAAAAGCUUCAACAUCUCCCGUAAGGCUUCUAAUGAUACGGUAGCUUUGGCUUGCAAUAGCCCUUUUUGCUGUGCUUGUUACAAUGCUCAUUGCCUUGUUUGCAUCCGGUGACUUAAUGCUUUGUCUCAAACUCCUUCCCUCAGUACCGAGUAGUUCAUGGGACAAAACCAAGGCUACAAACAACACGCAAAUGUGAGUGAGACGAGCCAUGAAUAAUGUGAGAAUGUGAAAGUAAAGAAACGAAGACAAAAGAAGCCGAUUUCAAGGGCUGAAGAUGGC